This 398-nucleotide ribosomal RNA is filed under the name uncultured bacterium. RNAcentral's name for it is "partial 16S ribosomal RNA". It matches the Rfam family "Bacterial small subunit ribosomal RNA", at positions 523 to 918 of the family's 1533-position model. The record is from RNAcentral.
AUACGUAGGGUGCGAGCGUUGUCCGGAAUUACUGGGCGUAAAGAGCUCGUAGGUGGUUUGUCGCGUCGUCUGUGAAAUUCCGGGGCUUAACUCCGGGCGUGCAGGCGAUACGGGCAUAACUUGAGUACUGUAGGGGAGACUGGAAUUCCUGGUGUAGCGGUGAAAUGCGCAGAUAUCAGGAGGAACACCGGAGGCGAAGGCGGCUCCCUGGGAUAUAACUGACGCUGAGGAGCGAAAGCGUGGGGAGCGAACAGGAUUAGAUCCCCUGGUAGUCCAUGCCGUAAACGGUGGGCGCUAGGUGUAGGGGUAUUCGACGUCUUUUGUGCCGUAGCUAACGCAUUAAGCGCCCCGCCUGGGGAGUACGGCCGCAAGACUAAAACUCAAAUGAAUUGACGGGG